UACGUAGGAGACGAGCGUUGUCCGGAGUUACUGGGCGUAAAGGGUGCGCAGGUGGCGGCGCGCGUGGGGGGUGAAAUCGCCCGGCUUAACUGGGCGGGGGCCUUCCAGACGGCGUGGCUUGAGCAGCGGAGGGGGACGUGGAAUCCCGGGUGGAGCGGUGAAAUGCGCAGAUAUCAAGAGGAACACCAGUGGCGAAGGCGAGUCCCUGGACAACACCUGACACUGAGGCACGAAAGCUAGGGGAGCAAACAGG
RNAcentral lists this ribosomal RNA (253 nucleotides) under uncultured bacterium. Its description in RNAcentral is "partial 16S ribosomal RNA". It matches the Rfam family "Bacterial small subunit ribosomal RNA", at positions 524 to 776 of the family's 1533-position model. The record is from RNAcentral.